UAAUGUUUUUUGUGCUGAUGUGGA
This 24-nucleotide non-coding RNA is filed under the name Arabidopsis thaliana (thale cress). The record is from RNAcentral. Lineage: Eukaryota; Viridiplantae; Streptophyta; Magnoliopsida; Brassicales; Brassicaceae.